GGGAGGGGAUGACUAGUGACAGAGGGAGGGGGUGACUAGUGACAGAGUGAGGAAGGAGGUGACUAGUGACAGAGUUAGGUAGGGAGUGACUAGUGACAGAGGGAGGGAUGGGGUGACUAGUGGCAUUCACCACCUCCCUCAUUCUGUCACUAGUCACCAUCUCCCUCACUCUGUCACUGUGUCACCCCCUCCCUCUGUCACUAGUCACCCCUCCCUCAUUCUGUCACUAGUCACCCCCUCUGUCACUAAUCACCCCCUCACUCUGUCACUAAUCACCCCCUCACUC
Non-coding RNA from Pelobates cultripes (western spadefoot toad), 286 nucleotides. The record is from the annotation of a GenBank genome assembly. NCBI's taxonomy places the organism in Eukaryota, Metazoa, Chordata, Amphibia, Anura, Pelobatidae.